CCCUCUUUGGUGCAGUGGUAGCACACUCCGUCCUGGCUCCUUAGAGAGACAGUUUCCUAUUUAUAGCCGCGUUCAACGUGAGUGGGAGAGACCCAGGUUCGAAUCCUGGAAGAGGGG
Molecule: non-coding RNA, 117 nt
Organism: Fusarium irregulare
Lineage: Eukaryota; Fungi; Ascomycota; Sordariomycetes; Hypocreales; Nectriaceae
Source: the annotation of a GenBank genome assembly